Myotis davidii is the source of this 248-nucleotide long non-coding RNA. RefSeq lists it as uncharacterized. Lineage: Eukaryota; Metazoa; Chordata; Mammalia; Chiroptera; Vespertilionidae. The record is from RefSeq and is a predicted model, not a curated record. The transcript is spliced from 3 exons.
CACUGCCGGGUGCCCUCGGUGCCUCAGGUGCCACGGAGGAAGCCGGUGCCACCGUCGCCCAUCAGCGCUGCUGGGGGCCUUCGUUCCAGUGAGUGGUGCCGCCACCUACCAGCCUCGCAGACCGGAGCGCUGCUCCCUGCCUCCGGAGCGCUGCUCCCUGCCUGCGUGGGGGGCAGCUCCUUGGAUGGCUUACUAUUGGGGUGACGCCCCCCCUGCCUCUCCUAGCCGUAACCUCCCUGUGUCUCGGG